RNAcentral lists this long non-coding RNA (581 nucleotides) under Homo sapiens (human). RNAcentral's name for it is "HSALNT0330603". Lineage: Eukaryota; Metazoa; Chordata; Mammalia; Primates; Hominidae. The record is from RNAcentral.
GUGUCCUUAUUCUCCUGUAAAAGAAUACAAGCUGAAACGCUUUCAGGUGACAGUAUUGCUCAACAUAAAAACUAUGUGGACCCUGAUGUGCAGAAACUUAAGUCAAUUGCCCAAGGUCGCAUUGCUGGUAUCUCCAUUUGUUAUGCUUGGAAAGUGAGAAAGCAUUCAACUGGCAAAGGAAGUGAACAAAAACAAGAUCAAGAAUAAACAUGACUUAAUUAAAAUCAUAAUGAGGUAUCAUCUUACCCCAGUCAGAAUGUCUCUUAUUAAAAAAAAAAAAAUGAAAACAAAAACAGAUGCUGGCGAGGAUGCAGAGAAUGGAGAAAUCUUACACACCGUUGGCUGGAAUGUAAAGCAGUACAACAUUUAUGGAAAACAGCAUGAAGAUUUCUCUAAGAACUAAAAGAACUACCCUUUGAUCCAACAAUCUACUAAUGGAACCAGAGCAAAUCAAUUGUCUAGCAGCUACGAGGUCUUCUUCACCACAAAACUAUGGCUCUCUUCCCUCGGGUUUAAGGAUCUUUCAAUUUGUCUUGCUUUGUCUUAGGCUGGAGUACAGUGGCACGAUCUCAACUCUCUGC